Transfer RNA from Calocera viscosa, 95 nucleotides. It matches the Rfam family "tRNA". Rfam says of the family: Transfer RNA (tRNA) molecules are approximately 80 nucleotides in length. Their secondary structure includes four short double-helical elements and three loops (D, anti-codon, and T loops). NCBI's taxonomy places the organism in Eukaryota, Fungi, Basidiomycota, Dacrymycetes, Dacrymycetales, Dacrymycetaceae. The record is from Rfam.
GCCCUUAUAGCUCAGUUGGUAGAGCGCGACACUAGUAGUCUGCAGUGUAGCAUACGGUGAUGUCGAGGUCAGUCGUUCAAAUCGGCUUGAGGGCA